CCUACGGGGGGCUGCAGUAGGGAAUCUUCCGCAAUGGACGAAAGUCUGACGGAGCAACGCCGCGUGAGCGAAGAAGGCCUUCGGGUCGUAAAGCUCUGUUGUUAGGGAAGAACAAGUAGCGCAGUAACUGGCGUUACCGUGACGGUACCUAACGAGAAAGCCACGGCUAACUACGUGCCAGCAGCCGCGGUAAUACGUAGGUGGCAAGCGUUGUCCGGAAUUAUUGGGCGUAAAGCGCGCGCAGGCGGUUCCUUAAGUCGGAUGUGAAAGCCCACGGCUCAACCGUGGAGGGUCAUUGGAAGCUGGGGGGCUGGGGUGCAGAAGGGGGGAGCGGAAUUCCGCGUGGGGCGGUGAAAUGGGUAGAGAUGUGGAGGACCUCGAGUGGCGAAGGCGGCUCACUGGACUGUAGCUGACGGUGAGGCGCGAAAACGGGGGGAGCAAACAGGAUGAGAUACCCCUGUAGGC
This 465-nucleotide ribosomal RNA is filed under the name uncultured bacterium. Its description in RNAcentral is "bacterial SSU rRNA". It matches the Rfam family "Bacterial small subunit ribosomal RNA", at positions 338 to 795 of the family's 1533-position model. The record is from RNAcentral.